GCGGUAAUAAUCAAAUGGUUGAUGCAUUGGCAGCCGGGAUGAGUGGGUUGACGUUUGAGGAUACUGGGGAUGAUGAUAAUUAUGAGUUUGGGAAGGGGAAUUUCACGGAGCAUGCUUGCAGGUAUUGUGGGGUUUCGAACCCGGCUUGCGUUGUGAGGUGUAACGUACCCUCGUGCCGUAAGUGGUUCUGCAAUUCGCGAGGGAAUACGUCUGGGUCGCAUAUUGUGAAUCAUCUGGUCCGGGCAAAGCAUAAGGAAGUUUGUCUUCACAAAGACAGUCCUCUGGGAGAAACAAUUCUCGAGUGUUACAAUUGUGGAUGCCGAAAUGUAUUCCUCCUUGGAUUUAUUUCUGCAAAGACAGAAAGUGUGGUUGUUCUACUCUGUAGGGAACCUUGCUUAAGUGUAAAUGCUCUUAAGGAUAUGAAUUGGGACUUGAGUCAGUGGUGCCCUCUAAUUGAUGAUAGGUGCUUCUU
RNAcentral lists this unclassified non-coding RNA (472 nucleotides) under Hevea brasiliensis (rubber tree). Lineage: Eukaryota; Viridiplantae; Streptophyta; Magnoliopsida; Malpighiales; Euphorbiaceae. The record is from RNAcentral.